This 255-nucleotide unclassified non-coding RNA is filed under the name Hevea brasiliensis (rubber tree). Lineage: Eukaryota; Viridiplantae; Streptophyta; Magnoliopsida; Malpighiales; Euphorbiaceae. The record is from RNAcentral.
CUUGAAUUCAAUUCUUACAGCCAUUGCUAAGUUGGACGGAGAACAUUGUUCAACCACCACAUUGGAAGAAUUACGAGUUGCAGCUGUCAACUUGAUUUCUGAAUUGGGAAAGAAAUGUAAAGAGGAGAGCAAAGUUGUUACUCGGUCUAGCUGUGAGGCAGAGAAAUGUUUACAACAGUGGGGCGAAGACCAAGGUGUGAAGUCACAAUUGGAGAUAUCUUACUUUGAAGGAGCUGGAAGGGGAGCCAUUGCAAG